RNAcentral lists this ribosomal RNA (119 nucleotides) under Synergistota bacterium. RNAcentral's name for it is "Synergistetes bacterium (hot springs metagenome) partial 16S ribosomal RNA". It matches the Rfam family "Bacterial small subunit ribosomal RNA", at positions 1 to 116 of the family's 1533-position model. The record is from RNAcentral. Lineage: Bacteria; Thermotogati; Synergistota.
UUUUCUGGAGAGUUUGAUCCUGGCUCAGGAUGAACGCUGGCAGCGUGCCUAACACAUGCAAGUCGAGCGCGGGCCUUGCCGUUUGGUGGGGUUCCGAGCGGCGGACGGGUGAGUAAUGC